AGCGAACGAGGGUGGCAGGCUUAACACAUGCAAGUCGAGCGGGCAUCCUUGUGGUGUCAGCGGCAGACGGGUGAGUAACGCGUGGGAACGUGCCCUUCGGUUCGGAAUAACUCAGGGAAACUUGAGCUAAUACCGGAUACGUGCGAGAGCAGAAAGGUUUAUCUGCCGAAGGAUCGGCCCGCGUCUGAUUAGCUAGUUGGUGAGGUUAUGGCUCACCAAGGCGACGAUCAGUAGCUGGUCUGAGAGGAUGAUCAGCCACACUGGGACUGAGACACGGCCCAGACUCCUACGGGAGGCAGCAGUGGGGAAUAUUGGACAAUGGGGGCAACCCUGAUCCAGCCAUGCCGCGUGAGUGAUGACGGCCUUAGGGUUGUAAAGCUCUUUUCUCCGGGACGAUAAUGACGGUACCGGAGGAAUAAGCCCCGGCUAACUUCGUG
This 437-nucleotide ribosomal RNA is filed under the name uncultured bacterium. RNAcentral describes it as "partial 16S ribosomal RNA". It matches the Rfam family "Bacterial small subunit ribosomal RNA", at positions 29 to 507 of the family's 1533-position model. The record is from RNAcentral.